Ylistrum balloti is the source of this 591-nucleotide long non-coding RNA. RefSeq lists it as uncharacterized. Lineage: Eukaryota; Metazoa; Mollusca; Bivalvia; Pectinida; Pectinidae. The transcript is spliced from 4 exons. The record is from RefSeq and is a predicted model, not a curated record.
GAAAUCACAAAUUGAUAAGAUGGAGAUUUGUGAUUCAUGGUGGCAUCGAUGGUUAUUCCAGACUACCAGUAUUUCUACAAGUAAACACAAAUAACUGUGCAGAAACAGUGUUAGCUGCAUUUUUGCAUGCGGUCCAAGAAUAUGGAACUCCAGAAAAAGUAAGAACAGACAAGGGAGGAGAAAAUGUCAAAGUGGCUGAGUAUAUGGUAACCCAGAAAGGACCCAAAAGCUUUAUUGCAGGGAGAAGUGUCCACAAUCAAAGAAUCUGUGUUAGAUCCUGAUGAUGAGACCCAUCUCCUAGCUCUUCAUCUAGUAUUUAAGUCCAGGAUUCAGCAGCAUUUGGAUGUCUUCAGAGAUUCCUUCUGUCGGAGACCUAUUCGAACAGAGGGAAAUCAAACGCCUCUUCAGCUGUGGAUCAGAGGACAGAUACUGGAUCCGUCAUGGUAUCCGCAAAGUGAGAAUGAUCAAUUGAACUUUGGAAUUGACUAUGAUGGUCCAGUGCCAGACCACGUUGAUCCUGACUGCGUGGAAAUACCGCCAACACCAACAUUUCCUAUAAUGGAGGAACACCAUCAGACAAUAUCUGAAAUU